Molecule: ribosomal RNA, 478 nt
Filed under: Escherichia coli
Lineage: Bacteria; Pseudomonadati; Pseudomonadota; Gammaproteobacteria; Enterobacterales; Enterobacteriaceae
Also listed under: 1 other name
Description: partial 16S ribosomal RNA
Rfam family: Bacterial small subunit ribosomal RNA
Source: RNAcentral
AAAUUGAAGAGUUUGAUCAUGGCUCAGAUUGAACGCUGGCGGCAGGCCUAACACAUGCAAGUCGAACGGUAACAGGAAACAGCUUGCUGUUUCGCUGACGAGUGGCGGACGGGUGAGUAAUGUCUGGGAAACUGCCCGAUGGAGGGGGAUAACUACUGGAAACGGUAGCUAAUACCGCAUAACGUCGCAAGACCAAAGAGGGGGACCUUCGGGCCUCUUGCUAUCGGAUGUGCCCAGAUGGGAUUAGCUAGUAGGUGGGGUAACGGCUCACCUAGGCGACGAUCCCUAGCUGGUCUGAGAGGAUGACCAGCCACACUGGAACUGAGACACGGUCCAGACUCCUACGGGAGGCAGCAGUGGGGAAUAUUGCACAAUGGGCGCAAGCCUGAUGCAGCCAUGCCGCGUGUAUGAAGAAGGCCUUCGGGUUGUAAAGUACUUUCAGCGGGGAGGAAGGGAGUAAAGUUAAUACCUUUACUCA